UGAGGGUUAGCAUAAGUUAAAUGCAUCUUAUUUACACUAAGAAUAUAAAAAUUUUUUACUCUCAU
Molecule: transfer RNA, 65 nt
Filed under: Panopea abrupta
Lineage: Eukaryota; Metazoa; Mollusca; Bivalvia; Adapedonta; Hiatellidae
Description: tRNA-Val
Source: RNAcentral